AAUAGAGUCUGGGCAAAAAGGGAAAGAGCUGAUGGGGAGGACAGGGCAAGACUGAUUAGGGAUGAAGAGAUUGGUGCGAGGUUUAUGAGGAGAAGUAUGGUAUGAAGAGAAGACUUCUCCUUCGUUUCGCAAGCGGGGAGAGCAGGGCCGAGUGAGGGUCGACAGGGCGACCAGCGAAGCGGCUGAAGCGAGGGUUGGCCCAGCUGAUCGGGUGAUGCUGUGUUGCCACAUUUUCGUGUUGAUUUUCCUGUGCGAUGCUACUUUCGUGCUUGCGUUGCUACCGGGAAUAGAUCGUAGGUGCGUGGCAAUGCUUAGUUACGCGUACUUAUAUACACAAAAAAAAGAAAAGAAAUUUAAUUGCUACAUUACAAAUAAUAUAACCCGAUCUAAAUGAACUAUGAAUGCAUUUGACUAUUGAUAAAUAAAUGUGAUUAUAGGUAUAUGUUUGUGUGCGUAAUCAAUGUGUCAAAACAGUGUCAAGUCGACUGAUCACAUGGAAAGUUUCGGUCAGCCAAGCAUUACGCGUAGCAGGAAAUAUAAUGUAAAGUACACUAUCAUUUGUAUGUAUCAUUAUACUCAGCAUACAGUAUUAGUACGUAUGAAUAAUAAACCGGCCUUAAUACCCAAAGCUAUAUGAGAGCAGAACUUUAAUAAACCGGUGUGUUUAUAUGGCACAACUUUUCAGCCUGCCUUAUGACGUCAGAGCACUGAGGGAUAUAUAAAGGCAGUCAGCGGCAGGUCUCUUGCACCAUUGGAAGCGAGACAUCUGCAUCCAGAAGCAGCUCUUAUUUAAUAAGAACUUCCACUGAACAAUCAUUUUGUGUUUGUUGAAAAAUCUUCGACUUAAACUGACGCCUACACCUCGCUUCACUGAGGAAGCAUUGUCACGAGUUUCGCAGAGAAGCCCGCUUCCGCAAACACAAUGAAGCAGUUCGACAAAGCCGAUCCUAGCUCACUGCUUUCGCAGAUGCAGCGGAGAUCCACGCCUGUGACCAAGGAAUCCCGAGAGAGCUCCCCCAACCUGACGCACUCUAUCAAGGGCCUCUGGGGCUCCUGGAUGAACGCCGGAAGCGAUUCUGUGGGACACCAGAAGAGAAUCGUUUACCCAGGGACGUGGAACCAAGAUCUAACAUUGUCGAGAAGUUAAUAAACGGAAAACUUCAUCAUCGACUACGAUGACUAAAAAGUAACCGAAAAAAGAGCCGGCAUGACGCCUGGCUGUAAUCUGUGGGAAGUCUGUGCACUUCUCGAAGGCUGCCGGUCGAGUAAUGAGGAUCUCCCAGUGAAUAGCCGAAUGAAAAUAAUAACCCGAGCGAGAAGAAAGGCCCGAAGGAGGAUCAUGCAGUGCGCCUGAGCAUAACCAACAUGGAUUUUUUUAAUGCGGCGCCCUUGUCCUCAAAAGAUUAUUUUCUACUCUCUAUUACUAUGGCAGAAAAGAUUGCUGAAAAAUCAUGUACGAUAAUUUGUGCAUCGAUAGUGUUGUAUCACAUUCGCUUAGUUGUCAAUGUUAUAUUUCUGAUAUUCAUUUAUAUUAAAUGUGUAAUGUAUGAUACCAUGUAAUACGACUGAUUUUUUGUUUUACUAGUUUUAUUUUUGCACAAAUGUGCUUCCAUACUUCUGGCUAUUAUACGGUCAAAUAUAAUAGAAGCAAC
Molecule: long non-coding RNA, 1652 nt
Organism: Penaeus chinensis
Lineage: Eukaryota; Metazoa; Arthropoda; Malacostraca; Decapoda; Penaeidae
Exons: 2
Source: RefSeq, a predicted model, not a curated record